RNAcentral lists this ribosomal RNA (388 nucleotides) under uncultured bacterium. Its description in RNAcentral is "bacterial LSU rRNA". It matches the Rfam family "Bacterial large subunit ribosomal RNA", at positions 800 to 1183 of the family's 2925-position model. The record is from RNAcentral.
SGGGGAUGAGUUGUGGGUAGCGGUGAAAUUCCAAACGAACUUGGAGAUAGCUGGUUCUCUCCGAAAUAGCUUUAGGGCUAGCCUCGUGGAGAGGAUAAUGGAGGUAGAGCUCUGUUUGGACUAGGGGCCCGUCAGGGGUUACUGAAUCCAGAUAAACUGCGAAUUCCAGAUAUCCAUACACGGGAGUCAGACUGCGAGUGAUAAGAUCCGUAGUCGAAAGGGAAACAGCCCAGAUCACCAGUUAAGGUCCCCAAAUCUAUGCUAAGUGGAAAAGGAUGUGGAGUUGCGUAGACAACUAGGACGUUGGCUCAGAAGCAGCCAUCAUUACAAAGAGUGACGUAAUAGCUCACUAGUCGAGGUCGACGCCGGCCGCGAAUUCUACAGUGCU